Molecule: ribosomal RNA, 485 nt
Filed under: uncultured bacterium
Lineage: Bacteria
Description: bacterial SSU rRNA
Rfam family: Bacterial small subunit ribosomal RNA
Source: RNAcentral
GAUGAACGCUGGCGGCGUGCCUAACACAUGCAAGUCGAACGGAGCUUAAUUACUCGGUUUUUAAGCUUAGUGGCGGACGGGUGAGUAACGCGUGAGCAAUCUGCCUUUCAGAGGGGGAUAACGAUUGGAAACGAUCGCUAAUACCGCAUAAUGUAUUGGGACGGCAUCGUCUGAAUACCAAAGGAGCAAUCCGCUGAAAGAUGAGCUCGCGUCUGAUUAGAUAGUUGGCGGGGCAACGGCCCACCAAGGCGACGAUGCGUAGGGGUUCUGAGAGGAAGGUCCCCCACACUGGUACUGAGACACGGACCAGACUCCUACGGGAGGCAGCAGUGAGGAAUAUUGGUCAAUGGGCGCAGGCCUGAACCAGCCAAGUCGCGUGAGGGAUGACGGUCCUACGGAUUGUAAACCUCUUUUGUCGGGGAGUAACGUGCGGGACGCGUCCCGUAUUGAGAGUACCCGAAGAAAAAGCAUCGGCUAACUCCGUG